This 1240-nucleotide ribosomal RNA is filed under the name metagenome. RNAcentral's name for it is "bacterial LSU rRNA". It matches the Rfam family "Bacterial large subunit ribosomal RNA", at positions 1564 to 2813 of the family's 2925-position model. The record is from RNAcentral.
UGAAUACGAGACGCUAAGGCGUCGAAGUAGUGUAUGUCAUACUUCCAAGAAAAGCUUGCACUGUCAUAAGUAAAAAAUGCCUGUACCAUAACCGACACAGGUGGGUAGGUAGAGUAUACUAAGGGGCGCGAGAUAACUCUCUCUAAGGAACUCGGCAAAAUAACUCCGUAACUUCGGGAGAAGGAGUACCUUAUUCUAUAAGGUUGCAAUAACAAGAUCCAAGCAACUGUUUAUCAAAAACACAGGUCUCCGCUAAGUCGUAAGACGAUGUAUGGGGGCUGACGCCUGCCCAGUGCCAGAAGGUUAAAGAAGUCGGUUAGCAUUAGCGAAGCUGGUAACUGAAGCCCUGGUGAACGGCGGCCGUAACGAUAACGGUCCUAAGGUAGCGAAAUUCCUUGUCGGGUAAGUUCCGACCCGCACGAAAGGCGUAAUGAUUUGGAUACUGUCUCGGAGAGGGGCUCGGUGAAAUAGACUUGUCUGUGAAGAUGCGGACUACCUGCACCAGGACAGAAAGACCCUAUGAAGCUUUACUGUAACUUGAAAUUGAAAUUGGACUUUAUUCGCGCAGUAUAGGUGGGAGGUGUUGAUUAUAAUCUUGCGGGAUUAUUGGAGCCAUCAGUGAGAUACCACUCUUGUAAUGUUAGAUUUCUAACUUUGAAUCAUUAUCUGGUCAAAGGACAGUUUCAGGCGGGCAGUUUGACUGGGGCGGUCGCCUCCCAAACGGUAACGGAGGCGUACAAAGGUUUCCUCUGAACGGGUAGAAAUCGUAUCUAGAGUGUAAAGGCAUAAGGAAGCUUGACUGUGAGACCUACAAGUCGAACAGGGACGAAAGUCGGUCUUAGUGAUCUGACGGUACUGAGUGGAAAGGCCGUCACUCAACGGAUAAAAGUUACUCUAGGAUAACAGGCUGAUCUCCCCCAAGAGUUCACAUCGACGGGGAGGUUUGGCACCUCGAUGUCGGCUCAUCGCAUCCUGGGGCGGUAGUACGUCCCAAGGGUUGGGCUGUUCGCCCAUGAAAGCGGUACGCGAGCUGGGUUCAGAACGUCGUGAGACAGUUCGGUCCAUAUCCGGUGUAGGCGUUAGAAUAUUGAGAGGAGCCUUCUUUAGUACGAGAGGACCGAGAAGGACAUACCUCUGGUGUACCAGUUAUCGUGCCAACGGUAAACGCUGGGUAGCUAUGUAUGGAGUGGAUAACCGCUGAAAGCAUCUAAGUGGGAAGCCCACCUCAAGAUAAGUAUUC